Small nucleolar RNA from Cyclopterus lumpus (lumpfish), 128 nucleotides. NCBI's taxonomy places the organism in Eukaryota, Metazoa, Chordata, Actinopteri, Perciformes, Cyclopteridae. The record is from Ensembl.
GCAGACAAACUCUGUUCUUUGCUGUUCACUCCAGCCUGGAACUUUUUAUGUCUGCUACAUAAACAUGCAGAAUGUAAUACUUCACUCGCUUUUAAAAGGCUGGUGUCAUUAUGUUCAGCUACAUUACA